AUUGAACGCUGGCGGCAUGCCUUACACAUGCAAGUCGAACGGCAGCGGACCUUCGGGUGCCGGCGAGUGGCGAACGGGUGAGUAAUAUAUCGGAACGUACCUUUUCAGUGGGGGAUAACGUAGCGAAAGUUACGCUAAUACCGCAUAUUCUGUGAGCAGGAAAGCAGGGGAUCGCAAGACCUUGCGCUGAUUGAGCGGCCGAUAUCAGAUUAGCUAGUUGGUGAGGUAAAGGCUCACCAAGGCGACGAUCUGUAGCGGGUCUGAGAGGAUGAUCCGCCACACUGGAACUGAGACACGGUCCAGACUCCUACGGGAGGCAGCAGUGGGGAAUUUUGGACAAUGGGCGCAAGCCUGAUCCAGCCAUGCCGCGUGAGUGAAGAAGGCCUCGG
Molecule: ribosomal RNA, 389 nt
Filed under: uncultured bacterium
Lineage: Bacteria
Description: bacterial SSU rRNA
Rfam family: Bacterial small subunit ribosomal RNA
Source: RNAcentral